RNAcentral lists this transfer RNA (60 nucleotides) under Paraclostridium bifermentans. Its description in RNAcentral is "tRNA-Ser". It matches the Rfam family "tRNA", at positions 16 to 71 of the family's 71-position model. From Rfam's summary of the family: Transfer RNA (tRNA) molecules are approximately 80 nucleotides in length. Their secondary structure includes four short double-helical elements and three loops (D, anti-codon, and T loops). The record is from RNAcentral. Lineage: Bacteria; Bacillati; Bacillota; Clostridia; Peptostreptococcales; Peptostreptococcaceae.
UGGUAGAGCAAUUGACUGUUAAUCAAUGGGUCACAGGUUCGAGUCCUGUUAUUCCCGCCA